UUUUUUGUGGUCCAAUGGUUAGAAUUCUCUUUAAAAAGUGGUUAGGAUUCUCCAAUUUCACUGGAGUGGCCAGGGUUCAAUUCCUUAGAAAGGGAG
This is a non-coding RNA of Massospora cicadina, 96 nucleotides long. The record is from the annotation of a GenBank genome assembly. NCBI's taxonomy places the organism in Eukaryota, Fungi, Entomophthoromycota, Entomophthoromycetes, Entomophthorales, Entomophthoraceae.